This 127-nucleotide small RNA is filed under the name Marmota monax (woodchuck). Lineage: Eukaryota; Metazoa; Chordata; Mammalia; Rodentia; Sciuridae. The record is from RNAcentral.
GCUGGGCGUGGUGGUACAUGCCUGCGAUCCUAGCAGCUUGGGAGGCUGAGGCAGGAGGAUCGCAAGUUCAAAGCCAGCCUCAGCAACUUCUCAAGGCCCUAAGCAACUCAGUGAGACCCUGUCUCUA